This 862-nucleotide long non-coding RNA is filed under the name Anas platyrhynchos platyrhynchos (common mallard). RNAcentral describes it as "lncRNA (ENSAPLG00000029277.1)". The record is from RNAcentral. Lineage: Eukaryota; Metazoa; Chordata; Aves; Anseriformes; Anatidae.
CCGCAGCUCGCCCCAGGAGCUGCACCGCGCCGGGGGCGCGCACGAUUCCCCACGGCCGCUGCUUGCGGGCGCGCUCCCGGCCAGCCGCUGCCUCGCGUGUGCGCGCCUGUGCGGGGGCGCGCAGCCCCCCCGGAGGCCGUGCCAUGCCCGCCCGUGCCCCGCGGGCAGCCCCCCCGUUUCCCUCCCGCACCGGAGCGGGGCUGAGCCGGGGAGCGAUGGAGAGCGGAGCGAAGGCAGCGCUCGGCUUUUAAACGCCGAUCCGGCCCUUUUUGCCCCCCCUUUUUUUUUUUUUUUUUUUUUUUUUUUUUAAUUUCCUUCUUCCCCCACACCCCCCCAAGUGAUGCGGCUGCGGAGAAAGCAGCAAAUCCCCCGGCUGUGCGCGCCCUGCCCGGGAUGCUCCAUCCCCGCCUGUGCCGCCCGGGUGCCUGCGCGGCUGGGAGCGCUGCCUAGGGGCGGCGGGGCAGGGGAAAACACGGCUUGAAGGGGGUGGCACGGGCCUGGGGGGGCCACCUCCGAGGGGCUGCAGGUGGCUUCGAGGCAGGGCUUUGGGGCUCCUGCCGCCUCGUGGGGCAUGGCACGCGUGGGAGCCGGGAGCGCUCGCCCCUGCGGGAGCAGAAUAUGGCUGGUGUUUGAUGAUGCUGGGGCUAGCGUUUAGGAUCCAGAAGGACGCUUUGCCACUGUGUGGGCUGAGGUAGGUAGGUAACAGUGCCUGCUGCUAUCAGCUCGUGUGCUGCAGGCAAUUUGUAAGCGUAGUAUGUGAUAUGCAGCCAGCGGUGCUUGCUUGACUUAUGUUCCUAAAUGUGCCGGGGUGUUUUAUGUGCUUUUGUUUUCUUAUUGAUGGGCGCCUUGUGAUAUAGCGGUG